AAUUGCAGUAUACGGAGGCUUAAUACUCAGUAACUAGAGGGACCGCUGUUACUUUCUUUAAACCAGAGGAAGGUUGCGGCAAUAACAGGUCUGUGAUGCCCUUAGAUGUUCCGGGCUGCACACGUGAUACAUUGAUUACUUCAGUGAGUAUCUACGUAUUACUGCGCAGCAGUAUACGCGUGUUGUUUAUUGCUUCGGCAAUUUACUUUGCGCUAUACGCCGCCUUAACCUACUUCGAAAGUAUGUGGGUAACCAAUUAGAAGUAGUGAUUUCCCUCUUUAUAAGCACACUUAUAUGGAGCAUCAUCACCCGGCAUGCCUUGUGCAUGUUUUGUGUGUGUUGUUUGUCUACAUGUGCUUUUGUCAAUUCAUAGUGGGGACAGACCAUUGUUAAUUGUUGGUCUCGGUCUUAACUAGGAAUGCCUUGUACGAGUUUUUGGUUCAACAAACCACUCGGAAUACGUCCCUGCCCUUUGUACACACCGCCCGUCGCUCUUACCGAUGGAUUAUAUUAUGAGUUGGCAGGACCGUCCAGGAAAUGCCUGCGAAUAAU
Molecule: ribosomal RNA, 552 nt
Filed under: Elphidium sp. S5
Lineage: Eukaryota; Foraminifera; Rotaliida; Elphidiidae
Description: partial small subunit ribosomal RNA
Rfam family: Eukaryotic small subunit ribosomal RNA
Source: RNAcentral